This 85-nucleotide transfer RNA is filed under the name Felis catus (domestic cat). It matches the Rfam family "tRNA". From Rfam's summary of the family: Transfer RNA (tRNA) molecules are approximately 80 nucleotides in length. Their secondary structure includes four short double-helical elements and three loops (D, anti-codon, and T loops). Lineage: Eukaryota; Metazoa; Chordata; Mammalia; Carnivora; Felidae. The record is from Rfam by way of RNAcentral.
GCCUGGGUGGCUCAGUCGGUUGAGCGUCCGACUUCGGCUCAGGUCAUGAUCUCGCGGUUCGUGAGUUCGAGUCCUGCAUCAGGCU